Long non-coding RNA from Cydia pomonella (codling moth), 743 nucleotides. RefSeq lists it as uncharacterized. Lineage: Eukaryota; Metazoa; Arthropoda; Insecta; Lepidoptera; Tortricidae. The transcript is spliced from 2 exons. The record is from RefSeq and is a predicted model, not a curated record.
UAGGUGCCUAGCAAAGAGUAAAGUAAGUAUAUGUGCCUAGCUUGAUGACAAUCGUACAAAUGCCAGUACAUUGUGACGACAUAUUAUUACAACUGUGUCCGAAUCGUUUUAACUCCACACACGAUAAAUACCUACUUACAAACAAUAGGGAGCGCGCAAAACUGUAGGGGGCAGCACAUGAGACGUCAGAUUCUUGGCGCGAGGUCUAAAUGUGAAGUUUAUGCUUCCAAUGUAGCCCACAAGAUGGCAGAACCUACUAGGCACAAGAAAACGUACGAGAAUCGUAGAUGACAGCACUUUGGCCUGAAGUGACAAUGUACAUGUUUGUUUCCGAUUCAGGUCAACCUCCAACGCGCACGGUCCCGAUAUAAUAUUACUGUGAAUUAUUCGUCAUCAAAGUACGCGUCAAAAAAAGUACAGCCGAAGCCGCGUGCUUAACACGUGUAUUUGUUUACCUUCACACGAGGUUUAUAAAGCGCAACACGAUAUUAAAGUUAGUAAUAAAUAAAAGUCCUGCGAAAUGAAAGUACGAGCGGUCCUUCUUGUGGUCCUACUUGCCCUGUCUGCGACGUUCUCGGCAGCGCAAGUCUUCUCCUCGCGUCGCUCCAUGACAUGCGUCAACAACAAAUGUCAGUGCGUCGGUGACGGCUGCUGAGCGGCCAUUUUGUAUGCAAAACAAAAUGGCGGACGGCGUAUGAUUUUAUAUGUUUUAAUGUAACGAUUGGAAUACGAUUUGUUUUUUA